GGACCCACCUGAUCCCAUGCCGAACUCAGAAGUGAAACGCAAUAGCGCCGAUGGUAGUGUGGGGCUUCCCCAUGUGAGAGUAGGACAUCGCCAGGC
Molecule: ribosomal RNA, 96 nt
Filed under: Vibrio mediterranei
Lineage: Bacteria; Pseudomonadati; Pseudomonadota; Gammaproteobacteria; Vibrionales; Vibrionaceae
Source: RNAcentral